UACGAAGGUCCCAAGCGUUGUUCGGAAUCACUGGGCGUAAAGGGAGCGUAGGCGGCGUGGUAAGUCAGAUGUGAAAUCCCGGGGCUCAACCCCGGAACUGCAUCCGAUACUGCCGUGCUUGAGGGUUGGAGAGGUAGCUGGAAUUAUCGGUGUAGCAGUGAAAUGCGUGGAUAUCGAUAGGAACACUCGUGGCGAAGGCGAGCUACUGGACAACAUCUGACGCUGAGGCUCGAAGGCCAGGGGAGCAAAAGGG
RNAcentral lists this ribosomal RNA (253 nucleotides) under uncultured bacterium. Its description in RNAcentral is "partial 16S ribosomal RNA". It matches the Rfam family "Bacterial small subunit ribosomal RNA", at positions 524 to 776 of the family's 1533-position model. The record is from RNAcentral.